RNAcentral lists this ribosomal RNA (458 nucleotides) under Veillonella dispar. RNAcentral's name for it is "bacterial SSU rRNA". It matches the Rfam family "Bacterial small subunit ribosomal RNA", at positions 28 to 463 of the family's 1533-position model. Lineage: Bacteria; Bacillati; Bacillota; Negativicutes; Veillonellales; Veillonellaceae. The record is from RNAcentral.
GACGAACGCUGGCGGCGUGCUUAACACAUGCAAGUCGAACGAAGAGCGAUGGAAGCUUGCUUCUAUCAAUCUUAGUGGCGAACGGGUGAGUAACGCGUAAUCAACCUGCCCUUCAGAGGGGGACAACAGUUGGAAACGACUGCUAAUACCGCAUACGAUCUAAUCUCGGCAUCGAGGAAAGAUGAAAGGUGGCCUCUAUUUAUAAGCUAUCACUGAAGGAGGGGAUUGCGUCUGAUUAGCUAGUUGGAGGGGUAACGGCCCACCAAGGCGAUGAUCAGUAGCCGGUCUGAGAGGAUGAACGGCCACAUUGGGACUGAGACACGGCCCAGACUCCUACGGGAGGCAGCAGUGGGGAAUCUUCCGCAAUGGACGAAAGUCUGACGGAGCAACGCCGCGUGAGUGAUGACGGCCUUCGGGUUGUAAAGCUCUGUUAAUCGGGACGAAAGGCCUUCUUGCGA